CCUGAGAACCCAAAAGAUCGAAUGGGAGAUUCAUCGUCAGCGAUCCAGGCACGCGUGCGGUUCGKGAUGCCGGGGACUUCGGUCUCAUGACACACSCCCGUAUGGUUUUUUUUGCCGGGUGUCGUCGGCGUGCACUUCUCCCCUAGUAGGACGUCGCGACCCGUUGGGUGUCGGUCUACGGCCCGGGUGGGCGCCUGUCAUGUGUAACUCUUYACGGCGUCAUGUGGCAGACCCCCGGUUGUCUGACCAGCUGCUCGGCGGUACUCGCACGGUAUCGAGUCGCAAAUAUUCGAACUGCGUCCGGCCCACCGCAAGCGAGGCCAGUGUUUCCCGGAUGUCGGACCUAGCGCCGUCACCGGGCCUGGCCAGCUGUUGGUUGGUGGUGUUCUGGGACUGGCUCAUAAAUUAUGAUA
This 413-nucleotide ribosomal RNA is filed under the name Himerta luteofacia. RNAcentral describes it as "partial 28S ribosomal RNA". The record is from RNAcentral. Lineage: Eukaryota; Metazoa; Arthropoda; Insecta; Hymenoptera; Ichneumonidae.